This 352-nucleotide unclassified non-coding RNA is filed under the name soil metagenome. RNAcentral describes it as "partial contains 5.8S ribosomal RNA, internal transcribed spacer 2, and large subunit ribosomal RNA". The stretch from base 1 to 120 matches the Rfam family "5.8S ribosomal RNA", at positions 35 to 154 of the family's 154-position model. The record is from RNAcentral.
GAUGAAGAACGUAGCGAAAUGCGAUAAGUAAUGUGAAUUGCAGAAUUCAGUGAAUUAUCGAAUCUUUGAACGCACAUUGCGCCCGCCAGUAUUCUGGCGGGCAUGCCUGUUCGAGCGUCAUUACAACCCUCAGGCCCCCGGGCCUGGCGUUGGGGAUCGGCGGAAGCCCCCUGUGGGCACACGCCGUCCCUCAAAUACAGUGGCGGUCCCGCCGCAGCUUCCAUUGCGUAGUAGCUAACACCUCGCAACUGGAGAGCGGCGCGGCCAUGCCGUAAAACACCCAACUUCUGAAUGUUGACCUCGAAUCAGGUAGGAAUACCCGCUGAACUUAAGCAUAUCAAUAAGCGGAGGA